GUGCUGCUUCAGCAGCACAUAUACUUAAAGUUGGACCGAUACAGAGGAGAUUAUCAUGAGCUCUGUGCAAGGAUGACACACAAAUUUGUGAAGUGUUCUAUAUUUUU
RNAcentral lists this small nuclear RNA (107 nucleotides) under Ochotona princeps (American pika). Lineage: Eukaryota; Metazoa; Chordata; Mammalia; Lagomorpha; Ochotonidae. The record is from RNAcentral.